AAGUGACAUACUAUCCUCAAUGCACACAGACUCCUCUGAUUUUGGAAGCUAAGCAGGGUCAAGCUUGUUUAGUACUUGGAUGGGUGACCACUAGGAAGUAGUGGUCUACUUC
This 112-nucleotide ribosomal RNA is filed under the name Pogona vitticeps (central bearded dragon). The record is from RNAcentral. Lineage: Eukaryota; Metazoa; Chordata; Lepidosauria; Squamata; Agamidae.